This is a long non-coding RNA of Denticeps clupeoides (denticle herring), 742 nucleotides long. The record is from Ensembl. NCBI's taxonomy places the organism in Eukaryota, Metazoa, Chordata, Actinopteri, Clupeiformes, Denticipitidae.
CCCAGCUCCUCCUCCCCCGACUCCGCUCUGCAGCUUGUGCUUCAGACCGUGAGCCUCUCUAGCCACUCCGGUGCUCCAGCUACCUGGCAGCCGGCUCCUGCACACGUGGCUGACAGAUGGCUCUACAGCAGCUGCAAGUCAAAAGGUCUUUCGGGCCCAAGGGCAAGAGCCGAAAUGAUCAAAAAAAGCAAGAGAGCCCACUGGUCCGAACAGGGGAUGUAAACAUCAGACAUAUGGUGGAAUAGAACAUGCUCUCCUUUCAAGGCUCAUCAGCAAAAUCGGCCCUGCCGGUGUGAUAGAUUUUAAUGGUGCUGCACCAUUAAUCAUACAAGGUCCACCUGAUUACGAAAGAGAAAAAGUUCACUUCUAUAACAAUCGCCAGUAAUAACAAGCCAUUAGACCCCGUAAAGUGAGUUGAAAUCCUUUUUAAUUGAUUAACAGAUUAAUAAAUGUUUCAAUGGAGUUUUCCUCAUGUAGCAACAUGCGGCAAUUAGCGUCUGGAAUGUAAUUAAUGAAGGGAUAAUAAACAAUGGAGCACUUUCAUUAUCCUUACCCAAUUAUGAUGUGAUUACAGCUCUAAGCUGCCAGUGAUAUGCUGUGACUAACCAAACCAAAGUGAUUAGAGCAUGAAAUACCCCUGCUGUCCAUGUGGAUGCGUCGAUGCAAUCGUGGCGGAGAUCGCAGCACCACGUGUGAAAUACUUGCAUCAGUCUACGAAUCCUGCUGUUCUCGGCUGUUUGGG